RNAcentral lists this ribosomal RNA (331 nucleotides) under uncultured bacterium. RNAcentral describes it as "bacterial SSU rRNA". It matches the Rfam family "Bacterial small subunit ribosomal RNA", at positions 568 to 898 of the family's 1533-position model. The record is from RNAcentral.
CGCGCAGGCGGCUUUGUUUGUCAGGCGUGAAAGCCCCGGGCUUAACCUGGGAACUGCGCUUGAGACGGCGAGGCUAGAGAUCGGGAGAGGAGAGUGGAAUUCCCAGUGUAGAGGUGAAAUUCGUAGAUAUUGGGAAGAACACCGGUGGCGAAGGCGGCUCUCUGGACCGAUACUGACGCUGAGGCGCGAAAGCGUGGGGAGCAAACAGGAUUAGAUACCCUGGUAGUCCACGCUGUAAACGAUGUGUGCUAGACGUUGGGGAGCCUAGCUCUUCGGUGUCGCAGCUAACGCUUUAAGCACACCGCCUGGGGAGUACGGCCGCAAGGUUAAA